This 404-nucleotide ribosomal RNA is filed under the name uncultured bacterium. RNAcentral describes it as "partial 16S ribosomal RNA". It matches the Rfam family "Bacterial small subunit ribosomal RNA", at positions 28 to 526 of the family's 1533-position model. The record is from RNAcentral.
GACGAACGCUGGCGGCGUGCAUAAUACAUGCAAGUCGAACGCAGUGGGGACGGGUGCGUAACACGUGGGUAACCUCCCCAUUAGCGGGGAUAACACUUGGAAACAGGUGCUAAACCGAUACUGCUGGAUGGACCCGCGGUGCAUUAGCUAGUUGGUGUGGUAACGGCUCACCAAGGCCACGGUGAAUAGCAGACCUGAGAGGGUGAUCGGCCACAAUGGGACUGAGACACGGCCCAGGCUCCUGCGGGAGGCAGCAGUAGGGAAUAUUAGGCAAUGGACGAAAGUCUGGGCGAGCAAAGCCGCGUGAGUGAAGAAAGUUUACGGAUCGUAGCACUCUGUUGUGGGAUGAGCGGUAUCUAUCCAGAAGACCACGGCUAUAUACGUGCCAGCAGCCGCGGUGAUUC